This 374-nucleotide unclassified non-coding RNA is filed under the name uncultured bacterium. Its description in RNAcentral is "contains 16S-23S intergenic spacer region". The record is from RNAcentral.
UCCGGUUUGUCACCGGCAGUCUCGCAUGAGUCCCCAACUAAAUGCUGGCAACAUGCGACGGGGGUUGCGCUCGUUGCGGGACUUAACCCAACAUCUCACGACACGAGCUGACGACAGCCAUGCACCACCUAUCGCAGGCCCUUUCGGACACCGUAUCUCUACGGCUUUUCCUGCGUAGUUCAACCCAGGCAAGGUUCUUCGCGUUGCAUCGAAUUAAACCACAUGCUCCACCGCUUGUGCGGGCCCCCGUCAAUUCCUUUGAGUUUCAGCCUUGCGGCCGUACUCCCCAGGCGGAACACUUAACGCGUUGGCUGCGGCACAGAGGGAUUCGACUCCCCCCACACCUAGUGUUCAUCGUUUACGGCUAGGACUAC